This 527-nucleotide ribosomal RNA is filed under the name Oreina gloriosa. RNAcentral's name for it is "partial 16S ribosomal RNA". It matches the Rfam family "Bacterial large subunit ribosomal RNA", at positions 1808 to 2609 of the family's 2925-position model. Lineage: Eukaryota; Metazoa; Arthropoda; Insecta; Coleoptera; Chrysomelidae. The record is from RNAcentral.
CAAAAACAUGUCCUUUUGUAAAUAAUUUAAGGUCUAGCCUGCCCACUGAUAUUUUAAAUGGCCGUGGUAUUUUGACCGUGCUAAGGUAGCAUAAUCAUUAGUUUUUUAAUUAAAAACUGGAAUGAAAGGUUGGAUGAGAAAAUAGCUGUCUCUAUUAAAUUUAAUUAGAAUUUUAUUUUUAAGUUAAAAAGCUUAAUUGCUAUUAAAAGACGAGAAGACCCUAUAGAGUUUAAUUAUUUAAUAAAAAUUAUAUUUUAGUAUUAAUUUAUUUAUUUUAUUGAAUAAUUUAAUUGGGGUGAUUGAAAAAUUUAAUUAACUUUUUUUAUUUAAGAACAUUAAUUUAUGAAUAAAUGAUCCGAUAUUUUUGAUUAUAAGAUAAAAUUACCUUAGGGAUAACAGCGUAAUUUUUUUAGAAAGUUCAUAUUAAAAAAAAAGAUUGCGACCUCGAUGUUGGAUUAAAAUAAAUUUUUGGUGUAGAAGCUAAAAUAUUAGGUCUGUUCGACCUUUAAAAUUUUACAUGAUCUGAG